Molecule: long non-coding RNA, 980 nt
Filed under: Citrus x clementina
Lineage: Eukaryota; Viridiplantae; Streptophyta; Magnoliopsida; Sapindales; Rutaceae
Description: Citrus clementina (C. clementina) long non-coding RNA (CCLE_LNC001842)
Source: RNAcentral
UUCCUUUUUUCUCCUUCAAAUUUUCACACCCCAAUCAAAAAAUCUCUUGCCUUUAUGUAGGCUAAUUUAAUACAUGAUAUUUUUGGUGAACUUGCAAUCACAACCUUUACAAGCGUUUUAGUAGUACAAUCCAAGGGUCUGAAAGUGCAACUAUUAUAGAUUGUUGGAUUCAAUACAAUCAAUGGUCACAAAUAAAGUUAAAGCAGGACCCUUCAGUUGCUCAUUUGUUGAGGUGGUUGAUCUACCAAAAUGGCAUGUUAAACCUAGUGCCACAAAUUGCAUGUGAGUUCAAACACAUGGCACGAUCUCAGCCGUUCAGAGUUAAUGCUAGAUCGAAUGGUUAGCGAUUCUUCCAAAGGCUUUUGAGUAUGUGGAGUCCAAAUUUCACAUUUGUUUUUAGGAUCCAAGCAUCAUGAUUUUAGGGAUUUACCUAUAAAAUACAAAAAUCAUACGUAAAAUAAAUAAAAAUAAAUAAUUUAUAAAAUAGGUUAAGAAUUUGUAAAUGAGAUGAAAUUAUUAGUGUUAUCUACAUUAUAAGUGAAAAAUGAUAAUUUUAACCUUUAUUGAAUAUUUGCUUUCUAGUGUCAAUCAGAUGAUGAGUUAAAAAGAAUUCUCAAGGAUAAAACAUAACUAUUUAUUAGUGUUAUAAAUUUUCUUUUAGAUUUGUCAAGCAAUGGGGAAUGCGAGAAGGAAAGCAAGGUGUAUAAUACGGAUUAAUUUAUUGAGAGUUAAAUUAGAUAGUAGUAAAAUGUAAAAAUUAAAAUUUUGGAUAUGUAAAUUAUUUGCUGUUACAUUUAUAAUUGCUCUGGACAUAUUUUCAUAUUUUAUAAAUGUUGUGUAAUAAAUUCAUUAUGAAUAUUAGUAAAUGUAUUAUUUUCUAAAUAAAUAACUAAAUUGUCAUUCAUCUUCAUUCCAUUCAAUUUUAGAUAUGAUUCUUCACAAAUUUCGUUGUUGAAAAUAUUUUCUUUACUAUUGUUAUG